This is a non-coding RNA of Cinara cedri, 676 nucleotides long. The record is from the annotation of a GenBank genome assembly. NCBI's taxonomy places the organism in Eukaryota, Metazoa, Arthropoda, Insecta, Hemiptera, Aphididae.
AAAAUUAAGCGAGUUCUCCGGUCGAGCAUCCCACCAGCAAUGCUAAGGCUGGUACUACGGGAUGGUGGAAGCCCACGCUGUCUCGAGCAUUUUGGGGUGGUGGCUCGUCACGACGCUGGCUUCCGGUCUUGGCCGGAUUUCGGCCGAAGGCGGAAUGGUUUUUUGGUGGCUUUCACUGGAAUGACUAUGUGGUUAUAGGUCAUGCUGACUCAAGGAAAGCUCUAGGUCGAACGGCCUCGCAAGCAUCCGCGGCUAUGAAUUGGGGUAUCUCUUUGGAGCCUACUCAGUCUAUCGGCGGGCUAACACCACACCAAAGACCAAAAACGGAAAGCAGUGAAGUAGGUUGCGGACAACAGGAGACGGGUAGCGCUUAGCCCUAACCCAUUGGUAUGCGAAGCUCCGUUUUUUUCGGGGUUCCACUUGUAGUCCUUAGAACGACACAGGAAACGCCUCUCUAGAAACUCUUGAACCUCCGCGCCAACUAAAUAUCCAUAGGCUAACACAGGGUGUGCGGUUGCAGGUUGAGACAAUCACUAAACAAAAAAUUGGAUUCAAUUGGUCCAUGAUGGUGGUAUAAAAUAUUAAGAUUAGUAAAAUUAUUAAACCAAAUUGUUUUUCGGAUAGCACAAUAGGACUGGCUAGCUUACGCCUAAUAGUAUUAAUAUGAUUUAAGUUA